RNAcentral lists this ribosomal RNA (802 nucleotides) under Ophiobolus sp. Its description in RNAcentral is "partial large subunit ribosomal RNA". It matches the Rfam family "Eukaryotic large subunit ribosomal RNA", at positions 88 to 909 of the family's 3401-position model. The record is from RNAcentral. Lineage: Eukaryota; Fungi; Ascomycota; Dothideomycetes; Pleosporales; Phaeosphaeriaceae.
GGCGAGUGAAGCGGCAACAGCUCAAAUUUGAAAUCUGGCUCUUUCAGAGUCCGAGUUGUAAUUUGCAGAGGGCGCUUUGGCGUUGGCAGCGGUCCAAGUUCUUUGGAACAGGACGUCACAGAGGGUGAGAAUCCCGUACGUGGUCGCUAUCCUUCGCCGUGUAAAGCCCCUUCGACGAGUCGAGUUGUUUGGGAAUGCAGCUCUAAAUGGGAGGUAAAUUUCUUCUAAAGCUAAAUACUGGCCAGAGACCGAUAGCGCACAAGUAGAGUGAUCGAAAGAUGAAAAGCACUUUGGAAAGAGAGUCAAAUAGCACGUGAAAUUGUUGAAAGGGAAGCGCUUGCAGCCAGACUUGCCUGUAGUUGCUUAUCCGGACUUUUGUCCGGUGCACUCUUCUAUAGGCAGGCCAGCAUCAGUUUGGGCGGUUAGAUAAAGGUCUCUGUCAUGUACCUCUCUUCGGGGAGGCCUUAUAGGGGAGACGACAUGUAACCAGCCCAGACUGAGGUCCGCGCAUCUGCUAGGAUGCUGGCGUAAUGGCUGUAAGCGGCCCGUCUUGAAACACGGACCAAGGAGUCUAACAUCUAUGCGAGUGUUUGGGUGUCAAGCCCAGACGCGUAAUGAAAGUGAACGGAGGUAGGAACCCUUUGGGUGCACUAUCGACCGAUCCUGAUGUCUUCGGAAGGAUUUGAGUAAGAGCAUGGCUGUUGGGACCCGAAAGAUGGUGAACUAUGCUUGAAUAGGGUGAAGCCAGAGGAAACUCUGGUGGAGGCUCGCAGCGGUUCUGACGUGCAAAUCGAUCGUCAAA